This 299-nucleotide long non-coding RNA is filed under the name Elaeis guineensis (African oil palm). RNAcentral describes it as "long non-coding RNA (EGUI_LNC066770)". The record is from RNAcentral. Lineage: Eukaryota; Viridiplantae; Streptophyta; Magnoliopsida; Arecales; Arecaceae.
AGGAGGUGGUAGUGUAAAAGAUUGGACAAGACUCACUCUUGUAUUUUUCUUCUCACAAAACCUAAAGAUAAAAUCCUAGAACCCACAGCUCACGCCCGAGAGGAAGAACACUUCCUCUGUUUCUCACGCACGGAAGCUCAACCCACUCUCAACUUUUUAUGUCCCCUCUCUCAAGUUUCUUAUGCCAAAAAUUACUUCUAAUCUCGUACAAAACUGAUCCCCUUUUAAGGUUGGCAUCCCAUCAAAGAUAAGGAUAAGAAUAAGGUAGUUUCGAUUUAAAUUCAAGUAUUGGUUAAUCC